AUUGGACGCUGGCGGCAGGCCUAACACAUGCAAGUCGAGCGGAUGAAGGGAGCUUGCUCCUGGAUUCAGCGGCGGACGGGUGAGUAAUGCCUAGGAAUCUGCCUGGUAGUGGGGGAUAACGUCCGGAAACGGGCGCUAAUACCGCAUACGUCCUGAGGGAGAAAGUGGGGGAUCUUCGGACCUCACUCUAUCAGAUGAGCCUAGGUCGGAUUAGCUAGUUGGUGGGGUAAAGGCCUACCAAGGCGACGAUCCGUAACUGGUCUGAGAGGAUGAUCAGUCACACUGGAACUGAGACACGGUCCAGACUCCUACGGGAGGCAGCAGUGGGGAAUAUUGGACAAUGGGCGAAAGCCUGAUCCAGCCAUGCCGCGUGUGUGAAGAAGGUCUUCGGAUUGUAAAGCACUUUAAGUUGGGAGGAAGGGCAGUAAGUUAAUACCUUGCUGUUUUGACGUUACCAACAGAAUAAGCACCGGCUAACUUCGUG
RNAcentral lists this ribosomal RNA (484 nucleotides) under uncultured bacterium. Its description in RNAcentral is "partial 16S ribosomal RNA". It matches the Rfam family "Bacterial small subunit ribosomal RNA", at positions 30 to 507 of the family's 1533-position model. The record is from RNAcentral.